AUGGGAAUGGAAGAACAGUUUGUUAUACAAGAAGCUGCUUCUGCUGGAUUGAAAAGCAUGGAGCAUUUCAUUCGAUUCAAACAGGUUAUCAAUUUGUCGAAUCUAACCACACAACUCCCAGGACCGCCCUUCUAUUCACAUACCCAUUGUCACCGUUUUUUUUUUAUUUUGAGAUUCUUAUCUGAUACCGUGAGCUUUAUCCAUCGCCUUUGCGCUUUAUCUGAUUCCUCCCCUGACACGCUUUUCUGUACAACACUCGCGGUAAGAGAACAAUGGAGAAUAUCAAGCAAGAGGUUUCUGAACUCCGUAGAGAGAUGA
Vicia faba (fava bean) is the source of this 318-nucleotide non-coding RNA. NCBI's taxonomy places the organism in Eukaryota, Viridiplantae, Streptophyta, Magnoliopsida, Fabales, Fabaceae. The record is from the annotation of a GenBank genome assembly.